Molecule: long non-coding RNA, 1497 nt
Filed under: Ornithorhynchus anatinus (platypus)
Lineage: Eukaryota; Metazoa; Chordata; Mammalia; Monotremata; Ornithorhynchidae
Description: lncRNA (ENSOANG00000041253.1)
Source: RNAcentral
AUGAAUGACCGGCGACCAGACCAUCAUUCCCCGGCCCCUGACCUCGUCCUUGCCCUCCCCUUUCUCCAUCCCUGUUGCCCCUCCUUCUCCUCCUCCUCCCUCCUCCUUCCCCCUCUUCCUCCUCACUCGCUCCCUCCUUCCUUCCUCCUCCUCCCUCCUCCGUUCCCUCUUCCUCCUCUUUCACCUCCUCCUCCUCCCCCUCUUCCUUCCUUCCUUCCAUCCACCUUUCCUUCCUUCCUUCCUUCCUUCCUUCCUUCCUUCCUUCCUUCCUUCCUUCCUUCCUUCCUUCCUCCUCCUUUCCUCUCCUCUCCCCUCCCUCCUCCUCCUCCUCCUUCCCUCCUCCUUCCUCUCCCUCCUUCCCUCCUUCCCUUCCUUCCCCUCUUCCUUCCUUCCUUCCUUCCUCCUCCCUCCUCCCUCCUCUUUCACCUCCUCCUCCUCCUCUUCCUCCUCCUUCCCCUCCCUCCUUCCCUCCUUCCUCUUCCUCCCUCCUUCCUCCUCCUUCCCCUCCCUCCUUCCCUUCCUUCCCUCUUCCCCUUCCUUCCUUCCUUCCUUCCUUCCUUCCUUCCUCCUCCCUCCUCCCUCCUCCUCCUCCUCUUCCUCCUCCUUCCCCUCCCUCCUUCCUCUUCCUCCCUCCUUCCUCCUCCUUCCCCUCUUCCUCCUCCUCCUUCCCCUCUUCCUCCUUCUCUCCUUCCUCCUCUUUCACCUCCUCCUCCCUCCUUCUCCUCUUGCUCCUCCUCCUCCUCCUCCUCCCCCCGUCCCUCGGGGUCCGGGCUCCCGUCCGGGAAGGGGGGGGGGGGAGGGGCGUGUCCUGCCGGCCCCCGCGCAUGCGCCGUCCCCCUCCGGUCCCCCGGUCCCCGCCCCUCCCCCGGCCCGGGCGCAGUCCGGGCGCGGUCCCCGGGGGUCCGGAUCCCCCCCGACCCCCGGCCGUCCGGCCGCCCCCCACACAGCCCGAAGACCGCACGGGACGGGACGGGACAGGACGGGCCGGGCCGGACCGCAGGGACCCCGACGGCCAGCCCGGGACCCGCCCCGGAGAACGCACGCCUCCAUUGGACGACGAGCCCCCCGAGAAGCCACGCCCCCUGGGAAGCCUCGCCACCCCAUUGGACGCCGCGCCCCGGGAAGCCACGCCUCCAUCGGAAGCCACGCCCCCUGCGGAGCCGCGCCCCCGAGGAGCCGCGCCUCCAUUGGACGCCACGCCCCGGGAAGUCACGCCCCCUGCGAGGCCACGCCCCCUGCGUAGCCACGCCCCCCCCGAGGAGCCGGGCUGCCAUUGGACGCCGCGCCCCGGGAAGCCCCGCCCCCAUUGGAAGCCACGCCCCGGGAGGCCGCGCCUCAUUGGACGUCACGCCCCUGGAAGCCACGCCCCCUGGAAUCCACACCCCCAUUGGACGCCGCGCCCUGGAGAAGCCUUGGGGACGCCCCCUGGGAAGCCUCGCCCCCAUUGGAAGCCUCGCCCCUUGCAAACCACGCCCCCCAGGAAGCCACGCCCCUUGA